Molecule: long non-coding RNA, 442 nt
Filed under: Calidris pugnax (ruff)
Lineage: Eukaryota; Metazoa; Chordata; Aves; Charadriiformes; Scolopacidae
Description: lncRNA (ENSCPUG00000013547.1)
Source: RNAcentral
GGAUGCAGUUUUGGGUGUGCUACCUUUGAAUUUCAGAACUUCAAAGAAAUGCAUCCCUGCUUUUAAAUGUGUUGCAAAUCUUCCCCCCUACUGUUGUGAGCAGAGAAAAAGAAUUGCUCAUAGGAAGAAAAGAAACGGGAACUGGAUGAGAGAGGACCAGUUGAGAGGCGAGGAAUGGGGAAAGAACGAUGCUCCAAGCAUAAAAUCCAAGCUGCUGACCUUGAAGGCUGAAGAUCUCAAAUUUUUAAGCAAGUCCAGAAAUGCAUUCUUAGACUGCAAGGGCUCCUUCCUGGCAGAAGGCAUGACCAUUGUGCACUGUGUCCAGCUACCACGAGCUGAACACCCAACCACUUUCCCUACAGGUGUACGGGGAUGCUCAAACAACCAAACACGUUGGUUGACUGAACCUGAAGCCUGGCCAAACAGAAGCUCUUGUGUCUAA